This 74-nucleotide transfer RNA is filed under the name Merluccius polli (Benguela hake). It matches the Rfam family "tRNA". Rfam says of the family: Transfer RNA (tRNA) molecules are approximately 80 nucleotides in length. Their secondary structure includes four short double-helical elements and three loops (D, anti-codon, and T loops). Further hydrogen bonds mediate the characteristic L-shaped molecular structure. tRNAs have two regions of fundamental functional importance: the anti-codon, which is responsible for specific mRNA codon recognition, and the 3' end, to which the tRNAs corresponding amino acid is attached (by aminoacyl-tRNA synthetases). tRNAs cope with the degeneracy of the genetic code in two manners: having more than one tRNA (with a specific anti-codon) for a particular amino acid; and 'wobble' base-pairing, i.e. permitting non-standard base-pairing at the 3rd anti-codon position. Lineage: Eukaryota; Metazoa; Chordata; Actinopteri; Gadiformes; Merlucciidae. The record is from Rfam by way of RNAcentral.
GUUUCUGUAGUGUAGUGGUUAUCACAUUCGCUUUUACACGCGAAAGGUCCCUGGUUUGUAACCGGGCAGAAACA